AAUAUACUAAUAAAAAAAAAAGUGAGACCUCAGAAUAUAUAACAUAUAGCCAUAUGUACUCUACUGGCACAAUCCUUAAAUAUUCAACGGUUAAUACUGGGUUAUUCAAGAAUAGCUGAGAAGGGUAAAA
Long non-coding RNA from Leopardus geoffroyi (Geoffroy's cat), 130 nucleotides. RefSeq lists it as uncharacterized. The transcript has 3 exons. The record is from RefSeq and is a predicted model, not a curated record. NCBI's taxonomy places the organism in Eukaryota, Metazoa, Chordata, Mammalia, Carnivora, Felidae.